AUGUGGUGGCUGCCGCCUUGCUUCCACGGCGGCGGCGCGGCCAAGGGAGAAGGCAGAGACCACUUCGACCCCGUCCCCGUGUCCCCGGCCGGGGCCUCGGCGCGGUCCAUGAGCACGGCCACGUCGUCCACCAUCACCGCCCCGUCCGGCUCCGACCUCACCGGCUCCAUCAACGCCUCCGACCUGAGCGCCGACUCCAUCCAGCGCCCGCAGCAGUACCCGAGCUUCGCCGACAGGCCCGCCAACCUCCGGGUCUUCACCUACGCCGAGCUGCGGGCCGCCACCCGCAACCUCAGCCGCUCGCUCAUGCUCGGCGAGGGCGGCUUCGGCUGCGUCUACCGGGGCGCCAUCAAGGUCGACGCCGGCGCCGGAGACGAGACGCCUCCCCCGAUGGAGGUCGCCGUCAAGCACCUCAACCGGAACGGGCUUCAGGCAAGAUACUGCAUACAGAUAUAUACUCCACCAACCACAUAUUCACAUUGCUCUCUGGUGGCUCUGUCGGCCAGUAAAAUUAAUGGCGAAUUUGAUGAUCUUGAUCAGGGGCACAAGGAGUGGCUGACGGAGGUGAACGUCCUGGGCAUCGUGGACCAUCCCAAUCUGGUGAAGCUGGUGGGCUACUGCGCCGACGACGACGAGCGAGGGGCGCAGAGGCUUCUGGUGUACGAGUACAUGCCGAACCGGAGCGUGGACGAUCACCUGUCGGGCAGAGCGAUCGGGACGACCCUGUCGUGGCCUAUGCGGCUCAGGGUGGCUCUCGACGCCGCCAAGGGGCUCAAGUACCUGCACGAAGACAUGGAUUUCCAGAUAAUUUUCCGGGACCUGAAGACGUCAAACAUUCUGCUGGAUGAAGACUGGAACGCCAAGCUGUCGGACUUCGGCAUGGCUAGGGAAGGCCCGACGGAGGGCCUCACGCACGUCUCCACAGCGGUGGUUGGCACCCUGGGGUACGCGGCACCGGAGUACAUCCAGACGGGGCGGCUGAACGCCAAGAGCGACAUCUGGAGCUACGGGGUGCUGCUCUACGAGCUCAUCACGGGGCGCCGGCCCAUCGACGGGGAGCGGCCGAGGGGCGAGCAGAAGCUGCUGGACUGGGUGAAGCCCUACAUCUCCGACACCAACAGGCUGAGGCUGAUCGUGGACCCGAAGCUGGAGGGGCGGUACAGCAUCAAGUCGGUGGCCAAGCUGGUCACCGUGGCCAACCGCUGCCUUGCCAGGCUGCCCAAGGCGCGCCCCAGGAUGGGGGAGGUGCUGGACAUGGUGCAGAAGGCCGUCGACGUCGACGGCGGCGCCGGCGCUCCUCCGCUGCACCACUACAGCAGCGGCGGCAGCAGGGAGGAGGGAGGCAGCUCCAAGCUGAAGCAGGAGGGCAAGAAAGGGUUUCAUGGUCAGUGGCGAGGUGGAAGAGGGAAAGGGCCCCUCAUGUGCUGA
This 1428-nucleotide ribosomal RNA is filed under the name Triticum aestivum (bread wheat). RNAcentral describes it as "partial small subunit ribosomal RNA". Lineage: Eukaryota; Viridiplantae; Streptophyta; Magnoliopsida; Poales; Poaceae. The record is from RNAcentral.